AUGUACAUGCAGAGGCCGAGUCCCACGCCACACACUCACCACCAGGGGCCGGGCCACCCACACCACCCUGGCAGCUCCCUCACACCCCCAUGCUCCAGCACAGAAGGCUGCCCUGGUCCAGCUCUCUAUGCUGCCUCGAUUUCCCCCUUUCUAGGUCUUGCUUGGGAUGAAGGUCACGGCACACCAGAUGUCUGCACACACCAGAGCAGAGCGGGGCCGCCUGGAGCCGCUUCCCACCAACCAGGGCUGCAGCCAGGCAGGAAGCCUGCUGUUGGCCACUUCGCUUUCAUUCCACGAGCACAGAAGGAACACCCGCUCUCGGGCAGUCCCUGCCCCCUGGUGCUAAGGUUCUGGAGAGAGACGAGACCGGGAGGCAGGCAGUGCCCGUGUGUGCGGGGGCAGGAAGCCUCAGCGAGCAUAUGGCCGAGCAGAUCUCGGGAAGAGCUUUCCAGGCAGAACUGUCCGUGCAAAGGCCCUGGGGCAGAAGUGCUCAGACACACCAGGGGGCUGAGGGCAGAGGUCUGGGGUCAAGCUGGGGCUGGAGGGUGGGAGGGGCCCCUGGGAGGGGGUGUCCUGGCUCCUGGCGGCUCUUCCAGGGCAGGGACCUGGGCUGCUCCACUUUCACACGUCCGGGGUUUCCCCAGGAACCUUCUCUGUGGCAAGAAGCCUGUCCUGGAAAGUCCCAGACCACAGGUCAACGAGGAAAAGUCAGCUCCGGGCUGCGGCCGGGCCAGGCCUGUGCCCUGUGGUGCUCUCAAGGCCGGGACCAGCGACCCUGCGUCCUGCUCCAGCCCCUCUGUGGGUGCAGGAGGUUGGGGGCUGCCCUCCCAGGAAGCACCACUGAGGCCUGGGCUCUCAGGCUGCCCACAGGCCUCUCCCGCUGAGGCAGCGGGGACAGCAGCGCCACAGCCGCAGCCCCCGUUCACCCCUUUCCCAAGCCCUCUGCCCUUAGGCGUGCAGCCACCCCCAAGAGUGCCAGGCUUGGGGUCCUCAGUGUGGAGCCAAGGGGCCCGGGCAGGGCAGACGUGGGAAACUGGAGUCCAGGGAGGAGCAGGCUGGGAGGGUGAGAGGUGGCCUGGGCACUAG
Molecule: long non-coding RNA, 1086 nt
Filed under: Papio anubis (olive baboon)
Lineage: Eukaryota; Metazoa; Chordata; Mammalia; Primates; Cercopithecidae
Description: lncRNA (ENSPANG00000045362.1)
Source: RNAcentral